GGGUUGUGAGGUUAAGCGACUAAGCGUACACGGUGGAUGCCCUGGCAGUCAGAGGCGAUGAAGGGCGUGCUAAUCUGCGAUAAGCGCCGGUAAGGUGAUAUGAACCGUUAUAACCGGCGAUACCCGAAUGGGGAAACCCAGUGUGAUUCGUCACACUAUCAUUAACUGAAUCCAUAGGUUAAUGAGGCGAACCGGGGGAACUGAAACAUCUAAGUACCCUGAGGAAAAGAAAUCAACCGAGAUUCCCCCAGUAGCGGCGAGCGAACGGGGAGGAGCCCAGAGCCUGAAUCAGCAUGUGUGUUAGUGGAAGCGUCUGGAAAGGCGCGCGAUACAGGGUGACAGCCCCGUACACAAAAGUGCAUGUGCUGUGAGCUCGAUGAGUAGGGCGGGACACGUGGUAUCCUGUCUGAAUAUGGGGGGACCAUCCUCCAAGGCUAAAUACUCCUGACUGACCGAUAGUGAACCAGUACCGUGAGGGAAAGGCGAAAAGAACCCCGGCGAGGGGAGUGAAAAAGAACCUGAAACCGUGUACGUACAAGCAGUGGGAGCACAGGUUUACCUGUGUGACUGCGUACCUUUUGUAUAAUGGGUCAGCGACUUAUAUUCUGUAGCAAGGUUAACCGUAUAGGGGAGCCGUAGGGAAACCGAGUCUUAACCGGGCGUUAAGUUGCAGGGUAUAGACCCGAAACCCGGUGAUCUAGCCAUGGGCAGGUUGAAGGUUGGGUAACACUAACUGGAGGACCGAACCGACUAAUGUUGAAAAAUUAGCGGAUGACCUGUGGCUGGGGGUGAAAGGCCAAUCAAACCGGGAGAUAGCUGGUUCUCCCCGAAAGCUAUUUAGGUAGCGCCUCGUGAACUCAUCUCCGGGGGUAGAGCACUGUUUCGGCUAGGGGGCCAUCCCGGCUUACCAACCCGAUGCAAACUGCGAAUACCGGAGAAUGUUAUCACGGGAGACACACGGCGGGUGCUAACGUCCGUCGUGAAGAGGGAAACAACCCAGACCGCCAGCUAAGGUCCCAAAGUCAUGGUUAAGUGGGAAACGAUGUGGGAAGGCCCAGACAGCCAGGAUGUUGGCUUAGAAGCAGCCAUCAUUUAAAGAAAGCGUAAUAGCUCACUGGUCGAGUCGGCCUGCGCGGAAGAUGUAACGGGGCUAAACCAUGCACCGAAGCUGCGGCAGCGACACUGUGUGUUGUUGGGUAGGGGAGCGUUCUGUAAGCCUGUGAAGGUGUGUCGUGAGGC
RNAcentral lists this ribosomal RNA (1239 nucleotides) under Salmonella enterica subsp. enterica. RNAcentral's name for it is "partial 23S ribosomal RNA". It matches the Rfam family "Bacterial large subunit ribosomal RNA", at positions 1 to 1269 of the family's 2925-position model. The record is from RNAcentral. Lineage: Bacteria; Pseudomonadati; Pseudomonadota; Gammaproteobacteria; Enterobacterales; Enterobacteriaceae.